UACGUAGGGACCGAGCGUUGUCCGGAUUCAUUGGGCGUAAAGAGCUCGUAGGCGGCUGUUCAAGUCGAACGUGAAAACUCGGAGCUCAACUCCGAGCCUGCGUUCGAUACUGGACGGCUAGAGUCUGGUAGGGGGAUCUGGAAUUCCUGGUGUAGCGGUGGAAUGCGCAGAUAUCAGGAGGAACACCGGUGGCGAAGGCGGUGGUCUGGGCCUGAACUGACGCUGAGGAGCGAAAGCCAGGGGAGCAAACGGG
This 253-nucleotide ribosomal RNA is filed under the name uncultured bacterium. RNAcentral describes it as "partial 16S ribosomal RNA". It matches the Rfam family "Bacterial small subunit ribosomal RNA", at positions 524 to 776 of the family's 1533-position model. The record is from RNAcentral.